Molecule: ribosomal RNA, 672 nt
Filed under: uncultured bacterium
Lineage: Bacteria
Description: bacterial SSU rRNA
Rfam family: Bacterial small subunit ribosomal RNA
Source: RNAcentral
AGAGUUUGAUCCUGGCUCAGAUUGAACGCUGGCGGCAUGCCUAACACAUGCAAGUCGAACGGAAACAGGACGCUGGGAUCUCUUCGGAGUGAACUUGUCGCUGUCGAGUGGCGGACGGGUGAGUAAUGCAUAGGAAAUUGCCUUGAAGUGGGGGAUAGCCCGGAGAAAUCCGGAUUAAUACCGCAUGCGCUCUACGGAGCAAAGCAGGCCUCUGAUCUAAGCUUGCGCUUUGAGAUAUGCCUAUGUCGGAUUAGCUAGUUGGUAGGGUAAAGGCCUACCAAGGCGACUAUCCGUAGCUGGUUUGAGAGGAUGAUCAGCCACACUGGGACUGAGAUACGGCCCAGACUCCUACGGGAGGCAGCAGUGGGGAAUAUUGGACAAUGGGCGCAAGCCUGAUCCAGCAAUGCCGCGUGUGUGAAGAAGGCCUGCGGGUUGUAAAGCACUUUUAUCGGGAAAGAAAAUCUCAGGGUUAAUACCCCUGGGCCUUGACGGUACCCGAAGAAUAAGCACCGGCUAACUCAGUGCCAGCAGCCGCGGUAAUACUGAGGGUGCAAGCGUUAAUCGGAAUUACUGGGCGUAAAGCGAGUGUAGGCGGCUGCGUAAGUCGGAUGUGAAAGCCCCGGGCUCAACCUGGGAAUUGCAUUCGAUACUGCGCGGCUUGAGUCUGAUAGA